ACUUUCCUAGUAUAAAAAGUAUACUUGGCUUCCAACCAGGAGGUUUGAAAACUCAAGGUAAGUA
This 64-nucleotide transfer RNA is filed under the name Siphlonurus immanis. RNAcentral describes it as "tRNA-Gly". Lineage: Eukaryota; Metazoa; Arthropoda; Insecta; Ephemeroptera; Siphlonuridae. The record is from RNAcentral.